This 21-nucleotide non-coding RNA is filed under the name Arabidopsis thaliana (thale cress). Lineage: Eukaryota; Viridiplantae; Streptophyta; Magnoliopsida; Brassicales; Brassicaceae. The record is from RNAcentral.
GACCACCGCCGGAAGAGAGGC